Molecule: ribosomal RNA, 817 nt
Filed under: uncultured Actinomycetes bacterium
Lineage: Bacteria; Bacillati; Actinomycetota; Actinomycetes
Description: bacterial SSU rRNA
Rfam family: Bacterial small subunit ribosomal RNA
Source: RNAcentral
CGGUAAGGCUCCAGCUUGCUGGGGUACACGAGUGGCGAACGGGUGAGUAACACGUGGGUGACCUGCCCUGCACUUCGGGAUAAGCCUGGGAAACUGGGUCUAAUACCGGAUAGGACCGCACCGUGAGGGUGUGGUGGAAAGUUUUUUCGGUGUGGGAUGGGCCCGCGGCCUAUCAGCUUGUUGGUGGGGUAAUGGCCUACCAAGGCGGCGACGGGUAGCCGGCCUGAGAGGGUGGACGGCCACAUUGGGACUGAGACACGGCCCAGACUCCUACGGGAGGCAGCAGUGGGGAAUAUUGCACAAUGGGCGGAAGCCUGAUGCAGCGACGCCGCGUGGGGGAUGACGGCCUUCGGGUUGUAAACUCCUUUCACCAUCGACGAAGGGUUUCUGACGGUAGAUGGAGAAGAAGCACCGGCUAACUACGUGCCAGCAGCCGCGGUAAUACGUAGGGUGCGAGCGUUGUCCGGAAUUACUGGGCGUAAAGAGCUCGUAGGUGGUUUGUCGCGUCGUCUGUGAAAUUCCGGGGCUUAACUCCGGGCGUGCAGGCGAUACGGGCAUAACUUGAGUACUGUAGGGGAGACUGGAAUUCCUGGUGUAGCGGUGAAAUGCGCGGAUAUCAGGAGGAACACCGGUGGCGAAGGCGGGUCUCUGGGCAGUAACUGACGCUGAGGAGCGAAAGCAUGGGGAGCGAACAGGAUUAGAUACCCUGGUAGUCCAUGCCGUAAACGGUGGGCGCUAGGUGUGGGUUUCCUUCCACGGGAUCCGUGCCGUAGCUAACGCAUUAAGCGCCCCGCCUGGGGAGUACGCCGCAAGGCUA